Molecule: ribosomal RNA, 254 nt
Filed under: uncultured bacterium
Lineage: Bacteria
Description: partial 16S ribosomal RNA
Rfam family: Bacterial small subunit ribosomal RNA
Source: RNAcentral
CACGUAGGGGGCAAGCGUUGUCCGGAUUUAUUGGGCGUAAAGAGCUCGUAGGUGGUUCGGUAAGUCGGGUGUUAAACCCCCAGGCUCAACCUGGGGACGCCACUCGAUACUGCUGUGACUAGAGUCCGGUAGGGGAGCGUGGAAUUCCUGGUGUAGCGGUGAAAUGCGCAGAUAUCAGGAGGAACACCAGCGGCGAAGGCGGGUCUCUGGACAGUUCCUGACGCUGAGGCACGAAGGUCAGGGGAGCAAACGGG